Molecule: ribosomal RNA, 283 nt
Filed under: Actinomyces naeslundii
Lineage: Bacteria; Bacillati; Actinomycetota; Actinomycetes; Actinomycetales; Actinomycetaceae
Description: partial 16S ribosomal RNA
Rfam family: Bacterial small subunit ribosomal RNA
Source: RNAcentral
CGCAUGAAAGUGUGGCUAAUACGGGAUAUUCUGGGUCUGUCGCAUGGUGGGCCUGGGAAAGAUUGCGCCUUUUUUGGUGUUUUUGGUGGGGGAUGGGCUCGCGGCCUAUCAGCUUGUUGGUGGGGUGAUGGCCUGCCAAGGCGGUGACGGGUAGCCGGCCUGAGAGGGUGGACGGUCACACUGGGACUGAGACACGGCCCAGACUCCUACGGGAGGCAGCAGUGGGGAAUAUUGCACAAUGGGCGCAAGCCUGAUGCAGCGACGCCGCGUGAGGGAUGGAGGC